Elephantulus edwardii (Cape elephant shrew) is the source of this 931-nucleotide RNA transcript. It is a transcript of the gene named apoptosis inhibitor 5-like, with no coding region annotated. The transcript has a single exon. Lineage: Eukaryota; Metazoa; Chordata; Mammalia; Macroscelidea; Macroscelididae. The record is from RefSeq and is a predicted model, not a curated record.
AUGCUUUCUUUUCCAAUAUGCGUGGAGCAGACCUUCAAUCCCUCAGAUCCCGACUGUGUGGACCGGCUCCUACAAUGCAUUAGCCAGGCAGUGCCCCUCUUCUCUAAAAAUGUUCAUUCUACAAAAUUUGUGACUUACUUCUGUGAGCAGGUUCUUCCUAACCUCAGUUCCUUGACUGCCCCUGUGGAGGGUCUUGACAUACAAUUGGAGGUAUUGAAACUGUUGGCAGAGAUGAAUCCAUUUUGUGGUGACAUGGAAAAGCUAGAGACAAAUUUAAGGAAACUGUUCGAUAAGUUGUUGGAGUUCAUGCCUCUCCCAUCAGAAGAAGUGGAAAAUGGAGAGAACGCUGGCAUUGAAGAACCUAAGCUGCAGUUCAGUUAUGUGGAUUGUCUGUUAUACAGCUUUCACCAGUUGGGUGGAAAACGUCCAGAUUUCCUAACAAUCAAACUGAAUGCAGAAAAGCUCAAAGAUUUCAAAAUCAGGCUUCAGUACUUUGCACUAGGCCUGCAGGUUUAUAUCAGACAACUUCACUUGGCUCUGCAGGGGAAAACAGGAGAGGCCUUAAAGACAGAAGAGAACAAGAUUAAAGUUGUUGCAUUGAAAAUCACAAAUAAUAUCAAUGUUUUAAUCAAGGAUCUCUUCCACAUUCCUCCUUCUUAUAAGAGCACAGUAACAUUAUCCUGGAAGCCCGUACAGAAGGUUGAGUUGGGGCAAAAGAGAACCAGUGAAGAUACGACUUCAGGUUCACCACCCAAAAAAGUCUACAGCAGGACCAAAAAGGGAUGCCAGACAAAUUUAUAAUCCUCCUAGUGGAAACUACAGCAGCAAUUUGGGCAAUUUUAAUUAUGAGAAGAGAGGAGCCUUCAGGGGAAGCAGAGGUGGCCGAGGCUGGGGAGCACGAGGAAAUCGAAGUCGGGGAUGACUCUACUAA